AGAGUUUGAUCCUGGCUCAGGACGAACGCUGGCGGCGUGCCUAAUACAUGCAAGUAGAACGCUGAAGUCUGGUGCUUGCACUAGACGGAUGAGUUGCGAACGGGUGAGUAACGCGUAGGUAACCUGCCUCAUAGCGGGGGAUAACUAUUGGAAACGAUAGCUAAUACCGCAUAACAGUAUUAACCGCAUGGUAGAUACUUGAAAGGAGCAAUUGCUUCACUAUGAGAUGGACCUGCGUUGUAUUAGCUAGUUGGUGAGGUAACGGCUCACCAAGGCAUCGAUACAUAGCCGACCUGAGAGGGUGAUCGGCCACACUGGGACUGAGACACGGCCCAGACUCCUACGGGAGGCAGCAGUAGGGAAUCUUCGGCAAUGGGGGCAACCCUGACCGAGCAACGCCGCGUGAGUGAAGAAGGUUUUCGGAUCGUAAAGCUCUGUUGUAAGAGAAGAACUGUGAGAAGAGUGGAAAGUUUCUCAUUUGACGGUAUCUUACCAGAAAGGGACGGCUAACUACGUGCCAGCAGCCGCGGUAAUACGUAGGUCCCGAGCGUUGUCCGGAUUUAUUGGGCGUAAAGCGAGCGCAGGCGGUUUGAUAAGUCUGAAGUAAAAGGCUGUGGCUUAACCAUAGUACGCUUUGGAAACUGUCAAACUUGAGUGCAGAAGGGGAGAGUGGAAUUCCAUGUGUAGCGGUGAAAUGCGUAGAUAUAUGGAGGAACACCGGUGGCGAAAGCGGCUCUCUGGUCUGUAACUGACGCUGAGGCUCGAAAGCGUGGGGAGCGAACAGGAUUAGAUACCCUGGUAGUCCACGCCGUAAACGAUGAGUGCUAGGUGUUGGGUCCUUUCCGGGACUCAGUGCCGCAGCUAACGCAUUAAGCACUCCGCCUGGGGAGUACGACCGCAAGGUUGAAACUCAAAGGAAUUGACGGGGGCCCGCACAAGCGGUGGAGCAUGUGGUUUAAUUCGAAGCAACGCGAAGAACCUUACCAGGUCUUGACAUCCC
Molecule: ribosomal RNA, 1000 nt
Filed under: Streptococcus suis YS95
Lineage: Bacteria; Bacillati; Bacillota; Bacilli; Lactobacillales; Streptococcaceae
Also listed under: 2 other names
Description: bacterial SSU rRNA
Rfam family: Bacterial small subunit ribosomal RNA
Source: RNAcentral